This 256-nucleotide small nucleolar RNA is filed under the name Hyphopichia burtonii NRRL Y-1933. The record is from RNAcentral. Lineage: Eukaryota; Fungi; Ascomycota; Pichiomycetes; Serinales; Debaryomycetaceae.
AACGCAAAUUUCACAGCCAUUCACAACGUUAUUGCAUUCCUCUGAGGUUGAACCCACUAUGGCGUUCUGACCCAUGACCAUUGGAGUAUAGUUGUAGGAAUAUUCAUUUCGGUGGGUAUUCUUUGCAGAGUGGACUGGAGAAUAAUUUGGUUGAUCUUGGGUGCAUCGUCUCAUCUGUUGAAUAGCUCUGUCUAUUUCUAAGGGAUUGCCUUCGUGUGCCCGUAUGGGAGGUGAUGCAAUGAUCAGCUGUACAUCU